GAUGAACGCUGGCGGCGUGCCUAAUACAUGCAAGUCGAGCGAACAGACGAGGAGCUUGCUCCUCUGACGUUAGCGGCGGACGGGUGAGUAACACGUGGAUAACCUACCUAUAAGACUGGGAUAACUUCGGGAAACCGGAGCUAAUACCGGAUAAUAUAUUGAACCGCAUGGUUCAAUAGUGAAAGACGGUAUUGCUGUCACUUAUAGAUGGAUCCGCGCCGCAUUAGCUAGUUGGUAAGGUAACGGCUUACCAAGGCAACGAUGCGUAGCCGACCUGAGAGGGUGAUCGGCCACACUGGAACUGAGACACGGUCCAGACUCCUACGGGAGGCAGCAGUAGGGAAUCUUCCGCAAUGGGCGAAAGCCUGACGGAGCAACGCCGCGUGAAUGAUGAAGGUCUUCGGAUCGUAAAACUCUGUUAUUAGGGAAGAACAAAUGUGUAAGUAACUAUGCACGUCUUGACGGUACCUAAUCAGAAAGCCACGGCUAACUACGUG
RNAcentral lists this ribosomal RNA (497 nucleotides) under uncultured bacterium. Its description in RNAcentral is "partial 16S ribosomal RNA". It matches the Rfam family "Bacterial small subunit ribosomal RNA", at positions 28 to 507 of the family's 1533-position model. The record is from RNAcentral.